UUAGAAUGUGAAGAAGAGCAUGAGAAAUUAAAAGAUGAAGUGAAGAACUUGAAAAGUGUGCUGUAUGAAUUGAAAGAUCUAGUUCGAAGUAUGAGGGAAAACAACUCAAAUACUUAUGCACGCUCAAGACAAUCCGCUUCAAUGGACAAUGUAGAAAGUUGUUCAGAUGCUCACCUCGAAGACGAGUAGUGCAACAUCAAUUGUAUUUUGCUACAAUAUGUAUUUUGAAUUUUAAGGUUUUGAUAUAUUUGCGGAUUGCUUAUAUGUUUUAAGGAUAAUGGGGAUUGUUUAUGUUUUAACUAUUGAGAAUAAUUUUAAUUGAACGCUUAAAAUUUUAGUA
Non-coding RNA from Prunus avium (sweet cherry), 340 nucleotides. Lineage: Eukaryota; Viridiplantae; Streptophyta; Magnoliopsida; Rosales; Rosaceae. The record is from RefSeq and is a predicted model, not a curated record.